UGUUUGCCAGAGAGGAAAGCAACACUCAUGCACCUCAUUGCAAAACACGUCUGGUCAGGCGGAAAACCCUGGACUUGCUGGGAGGGAGGGAAGAAUGAAGUUGAAACUGAAAGGCUGCUUUGGUGCCCUCAGGUCAUCUGGAAAAGUGUCCACACAGUUCAGGCUUGAGGAGUAAUUUGAUGUGAGAUGAGGAUUCAGAUGAGAAUGAGUUUCCCUGCUUCCCCUUUCCUUGGGGCUCUGCUUGGUCCAGGCCCUAAUGAGUUCUGAAUGUUCAACUACAGGUCCUCCCACCAGCCUCUGAGAAGAGAACAGGACAACCCAAUACCCCCAGAAAACUGGAAGUUGAUAUUGAGUAUUUUACCCAGUUGCAAGCCAAGAAGCACUAUGAACAGCAUCUUCAUUUGCUGCAGCCACAUCUGACCUUGGUUCCCAUACCAAGUUGCCACUUCCUGACUGUAACCAUUUGCGGCUAUACCAGAAUCUCACAAUGUGCCCCGUGAAAAAAGACAAGGAAAUGCAGCAGUCCAAGCCCCUAACUGGAGGAGGCUCCUGACUCUGGGGACUUACUCCUUCACUCAUCUCCUGCCAGCAGCAGAUGGAGCCGGUCUGGGCUAUGGAAAGGCCCUGAGCGCAAAGGGUUAACACGCUGCCCCUGGAAUGACUGGGCUUUCCCUCGAUUGGUGCUGCCUUUCAGGCCCAGGCCUGCCUGAUGAUUCUUGGUGUAGGUUAAAGGACCAUGAAUUUGUGGCUCCUGAGUGCGUGGUAAUGAGCUCAGGCACCAAAAAUUGAGAACUGGUUAUACUUGGCUUCUCCAUCCAGGUUGAAAUAGCUCACCUGUAUUCUGAGUGGUGAAGAAAGGGCUUUGAGAACACUGGAUGCCUGAGGAUGGGCAGUAUAGCCUCCAAAAAAAAAAAGAAUCAGAAGCUGGUACUAACUAAAGAAUCUGUGAGACCGGGCACGGUGGCUCACGCCUGUAAUCCCAGCUACUUGUUAGACUAAAGCAGGAGAACUGCUUGAACCCGGGAGGCAGAGGUUGCAGUGAGCCAAGAUCGCACCAUUGCACUCUAGCCUGGGCGACAGAGCAAGACUCUGUCAAAAACAAAAAAAAAAAUCUGUGAGGCUCAAACAUGGGGGUGAGGGGUGAGAAUAGGGCACCAAAAGGACUGACAUCUAAAUAAUCUGUCAGUGACAAAAUGGCUUCCAACUAAUUAAACAUAGAAAAACCUCUUUUAGGGAAGAUAAUCCUAUUGGAUCUGCUUGCAAGAUUUUUCCAGCCAGCUUCUGCCUCUUGGAGCUUCAAUUAAAAGCUGUUUAGCAGAUGGCAAAUUCUGAGUUACAAAGUUAGACUCUUUGGCAACGAUAUGUGCUUUUGCUUUCCCAGGGGAUCCUGGCCACAUAUGGCCCUGGAAGAGGCGCGAGAGCUCUUUCUUGGCACACAGUAGAGAGCUCCUCUCCCAGCUUAACACACAGAUGACAGGCAUUUCAACAUAACCAUCAAGGGUGGUGAGCAAGAGGGGAGUUUUCAGUUAAUUCAGAAAUAUGGGGGCCCUGGAAAUCAUAAUAUAUCAGGGCUGGAAGGGAACUCAAACAGCGUCUACUACAACCCCUUCUUCAUACAGAACGAGGGCACUGAGCCUUGGAAGAGGUUAUGCAAUUUAUCUAAAGUUGCCCAGCAAGGGAGAAGCAGAGUCGGGAUCAGGCUUGUGCUUAUUUACCAUAGAAGCACUUCUCUAUUCACUUGGAGGACUGUGUUCAUUGCCUGACCCUUUCCUUAUAAUCACGAGGCUCCUGAAGAGAUAUUUUACCAAUGACCUGACAAAUUUGCCAGAAGGCCUUGAAAGGGUCAUUCAUCCUCAUGUCCACCUCCUGCUUUAUUGCAGGACAAAACCAGGACCCUCUGAAAUGGAACUUCAUCACUCUUCUCUUCAAAGCUUUCUACUACAGUUGAAGUCACAGUUUCUCUUGGGUGCUGUCAAAGAGAAACAGAACCGGACACUAAAUUAAAGAUUGGGGGACAGGUUUUAUUCAGUAAAAUUACAGUAGAGGAGGGAACUCAGUAUAACCUGAGCUCAAAGAGUAUAACUCUAUCAAAACAACUUCCAUUCCACAAUUCUAUUUUGAAGCUCCUCUUUUGUAGUAGACAUGGUCAUGUGCUGGACAUACAACAGUGGACAAGGCAUUCAGGGUCCCAGCUCUCAUGGGUCUCACAAUUCAGAAGGAGAAACAGACAUCGAGCGUAUCAUUUUAAUAAUAUUUACAUAAUCACAGUUGGGGCAGUUUUAAGAAAUAAAAACACAGUAGUGCUCUGAUGAUCUAUUACUGCAUAACAAACCAUCCUAAAACUUAGUCUUACAACAAUGACAAUAGAUUGCAUAGUAUUGAGCAGUCAACAGAGAUAGCUCAUUCCUGCUCUACUUGGCAUUAGCUAGCAUGGCUCAGAAGUAGGGUACUGCUAUCAUUUGAAGGAAAACACACUCACCUGUCUGGCAGUUAAUGAUGGCCGGCAGCUGGGACCUCAGCUGGAGCUGUCAGAUGGAAUACAUACACGUGGCCUCUCCAUGUGGCCUGGGCUUCCCCACAGUAUGGUGGCUGAGUUCCCAGGGUGUGUAUCCUGAGAAGGAUAGUGGUAGAAACCACAUUCCUUUAUGACCUAGACUCAAAGUCACACAUCGUUGCUUCUGCCCCAUUCUAGUCAAUAUUGCAAACAGAAAGUAUUGCACCAUUUCAAAGGGAGGGGAAAUAGACACCACCUCUUGAUAAGGGAAUGGCAAAAUUUUGGAAUAGCAUGAUAAAAGUAUAGCUGUGGUGAUUUUUUCAAAAUACAAUUUCUCUCAAGUGUCUGUGAGAAAGCUAAGAACCUAUCAGAAGGAAUCAAGAAGGUGUUUUUAAGCUGGGACCUGGAGGGCGAAUAAGACUAAGACAGAUAAAAAGGGAAGGAGUAGGGGAGAGGAGAGAAAUGUUCCAGACAGUGGAUCCUGGCACAGAAUGAGCUUGGCUACAGGAAGAACUGAAAGGAAGCCAAUGCGGCUGCAACAUUUAUAAUAAAACGAAUGAGCAAAGGUUCAUAAUAAAAAAGUUGCAGCAACUUGAAAGUGCUUAGUAGGGACCCUCCAGCUACCAUCAGGUAAUGCCAUGCUUAACCAGCCUACACCUAGUCUCUUGGUUACCUCUGCCUGCAUAACAAACCAUCUCAAACUUAACUGGCAUACAAGAACAACAUCAUUUAUUUUUAUUAUUUUCUCUCAUGGUUCUGGAGGUUGACUGGAUUCAGCCAGACACCUUUCACUUGGGGCCUCUCAUGUUGCUGUAGUCAGGUGGUGGCUGGGCCUGGAGUGACCUCAAAGCCUUUCUCACUCACAUCUUUGGUACCUGGACUGGGAACACUCAAAUAGCUGGAGCUAGACCAGCUGUUGCUGAGCAUGCAUCUCUUAUUCCCACUCUCUCACUCUCUGGUCUUUCCAUGUGGUCCCUCCAGCACAGCAGCUCCUGAGUAGUCAAACUUCUUAGAGGGUGGCAGAUGACUCCCAGUGCAAGUAUCCCAAGAAAAACCAGGAGAAGCUGCAUGGCCUUUUCUAACCUAGACUUGGAAAUCAGGUAGCGUCACUGCUAUCCCAUGCUAUUCACUCAGGUGAUCACAAAAGCCUGGCCACUGUUAAGGGGAAGGGACAUAGAUAUUUUUUUUUUAAAUGGAGUUUUGCUUUUUGCCCAUGCUGGAGUGCAAUAGCACGAUCUUGGCUCACUGCAACCUCCACCUCCCACGUUCAAGUGAUUCUCCUGCCUCAGCUUCCCGAGUAGCUGGGAUUACAGGCACUCAGCCAACAGGCCCAGCUAAUUUUAUAUUUUAGUAGAAACAGGGUUUCACCAUGUUGGCCAGGCUGGUCUCGAACUCCUGACCUCAGGUGAUCCACCUGCCUUGGCCUCCCAAAGUGCUGGGAUUACAGGCGUGAGCCACUGUGCCCAGCCGGGACAUCGACUUUUUGAUGACAGGAGUGUCAAAGAAUUUGCAGACAUGUUUUAAAACUACAACACUUAGGGUAACCAUAUAACUCACUGUCCAAAGCAAGAUACUUUUGAGAGUCAAAGUGGGCACUUUUGAGAGUCAAAGUGGGCACUUUUCAGGCAUGAGCUAGGACUGUCCUUGGGAAACCAAGACGUGUGGUCACCCCACUGCCAUGCCCGCACGAGUGGGAGCACAAGCUCUCUUAAAUUCUUUUGUCUUUCCGACAUUCAUCAUGCCAUUUGUAAACAUAUGCUUUACUCAUUGAAAUUGGUUUUAAAUUUUAUUU
This 4286-nucleotide long non-coding RNA is filed under the name Homo sapiens (human). RNAcentral describes it as "HSALNT0051513". Lineage: Eukaryota; Metazoa; Chordata; Mammalia; Primates; Hominidae. The record is from RNAcentral.